RNAcentral lists this transfer RNA (74 nucleotides) under Capra hircus (goat). It matches the Rfam family "tRNA". Rfam says of the family: Transfer RNA (tRNA) molecules are approximately 80 nucleotides in length. Their secondary structure includes four short double-helical elements and three loops (D, anti-codon, and T loops). RNAcentral also lists the same sequence under 1 other name. The record is from Rfam by way of RNAcentral. Lineage: Eukaryota; Metazoa; Chordata; Mammalia; Artiodactyla; Bovidae.
UCCCAGGUGGCUUAGUGGUAAAGAAUCUGCCUGCAAUGCAGGAGACGAGGAGAUGGGAGUUCGAUCCCUGGGUC